ACCAAUUGCUCUACCCAGCCUCCCUCCGGCUCUAUCCACUCUGGCAAUUGAAGCUCUAGUCUGGUUUCCAUGGCGGUUCUCUGGUUUCCAUGAGGACGUCGACUCCCCGAGCCUUAUACCCUAAACACAAUUGACUCUCUUCAAUCUCUCUCUCUCCUCGCUAUCUCUCUCUCUACCCUCGCUCGGAAUUGAAGCUCUGGUCUGGUUUCCAUGGCGGUUCUCUAGUUUCCAUGACGACGACUACUCCCUGAAGACGACGAUGACUCCCUCGGGCCAGACGACGCUGGAAAGCCGGCCACCGAGGACUCUUCGUCCUUGCUGCUCUGCCGUUUCACCUCGCCGUCCACUCUAAAUAAGCUGCCGGAUUCGACUUGUCUUGCCGCAAUUACAAACUCUUUCGCCGUCGUCUGGCCUCGGGGACUCGUGGUCUUCCCGUUGUCGGCUCACCAGGACGACGACGGCUCCCCGAGGCCAGAUGACGGCGAAGCCAGGACUCGUGGUUUGUAAUUGCGGCGAGAGUAGCAGAGUGCAUAUGAUCAAGUCGA
RNAcentral lists this long non-coding RNA (545 nucleotides) under Rosa chinensis. Its description in RNAcentral is "sRNA RchiOBHm_Chr1g0382621". Lineage: Eukaryota; Viridiplantae; Streptophyta; Magnoliopsida; Rosales; Rosaceae. The record is from RNAcentral.